GCCCCAGGACCGCGAGACUAUCCGCACAGCUUCUCUUUAGGCCCCACAGCCAGAACUCCAAAUUGCCUAGUCUCAACCCAUGCACUCUCUAAUCCGGGGCCACACGCCGGGCCUUCCCCACCACCUCAUCUGCUUGGGAACGUAAAGGGUUCUGUGGGGCAGCUGCAGCUUUUGUGCCCAUCUGUCUCCAGAGCUUCCCAUCUCUGGAACGCGGGAGGGAACAGAGCUCUAGCCUGAAUAACUGAGCCCGGCCCGGCAGUUCCCGAGAUUCACCAGAGAAUAAGCCUGAUGGGAAGUCUGGAGAUAACAGGACACCCAACCAGCAGGUCCCGGUGUGGUUCCGCUCCCGUGUUCUCAUUAUUCAGCUCCCACUUGAAUUCACAAGCCCAGACAGAAAUCAAGAAGAGAGAAAGUAGCUGCACAUCAUGAUGAAAGGAAUUUUUACAGAAAAUGAAGGAAUUAUUAAUGGCCAUCUUUGCAGAGAAUCUUCGACGGGCACUGAGAUGGUUAAUUUUGUGUGUGAACUUGACUAAGCACGGGAUGCUCAAAUAGCUGGGACCUCCUGAUUCUUAGGCCUUCAGACACAGACUGGAAUCUACAGCAUUGGCUCUCGGGCUAUCCAACCUUCAGACUACAUGACCAGCUUUCCUGGGUCUCCAGUUUGCAAUCAACCUACCCUGGAACUUUUCAGCCUCCAUCAUCGCCUGAGCCAAUACUUUAUAAUAAAUAUGUAUCUUCUUCUUGGUGCUGUUUCUCUAGAGAACCCUAACUAGCAUAGGCACCAAACACCCAUUUUAAUAAUCCACUUGUCUUCAGAUCACAGCAAUAUCUACUCAAGAGAUACAGACUCCAUUGAUUUCUGGCCACAGGAGGGCAGAAGAGUCAAUAGGUAUUCUUUGGCCUUCCUCCCAGGAGGGAGGUGUCAAAGAAAUUCAGAGUGAUCUGUAUGGCCCUAUCUGAUCUUUGGAAUCAUUUAUUUCUACAGGCUGUUUGCUUUUAAGGUAUCAAUAGCUGUCAAAAUCCCUCUUCUUUGCCAUCAUAAAAUCCCAAACUAGGGUUGAAAUAUUAGCAAAGAGAAUAUAUGUUUAAGAAAUUGUUUCUGAUACUGAUGACCCUGUUGUUAUAUAUCCCAAGUGAUACACAAAGAACUGAUUUUCAAGAUGUGACAACAUUUAGGUCUCACUUAUAAGUGAAGCUCUCCUUAGGACCAUACUGUAUGGACUAACACUUUAUUAUUAGAAGGAGAAAUGGUAGCAGUGAGAAUUUCUUCAUAUUUGUAAUUUUUUAAAAUUUCAACCAUGCAUAUUAAAUGUAACUUUAAUCAGAGUUAAAACCAUUUCACAUGAUGAUCUUAAUUUACAAGUCAAUAAAACUACAAAUAUGAAGGAAUAUUUGCAAUAACAGAGAUUAAAAGCAAUUAAUUUAUUUGAAAGUCAAUGAACAAUUUUUUUUUUCUUUUUUGGAGAUGGACUCUCACUCUGUUA
Molecule: long non-coding RNA, 1484 nt
Organism: Macaca mulatta (Rhesus monkey)
Lineage: Eukaryota; Metazoa; Chordata; Mammalia; Primates; Cercopithecidae
Source: RefSeq, a predicted model, not a curated record